This 296-nucleotide ribosomal RNA is filed under the name uncultured Streptococcus sp. Its description in RNAcentral is "partial 16S ribosomal RNA". It matches the Rfam family "Bacterial small subunit ribosomal RNA", at positions 1086 to 1382 of the family's 1533-position model. Lineage: Bacteria; Bacillati; Bacillota; Bacilli; Lactobacillales; Streptococcaceae. The record is from RNAcentral.
CCCGCAACGAGCGCAACCCCUAUUGUUAGUUGCCAUCAUUCAGUUGGGCACUCUAGCGAGACUGCCGGUAAUAAACCGGAGGAAGGUGGGGAUGACGUCAAAUCAUCAUGCCCCUUAUGACCUGGGCUACACACGUGCUACAAUGGUUGGUACAACGAGUUGCGAGUCGGUGACGGCGAGCUAAUCUCUUAAAGCCAAUCUCAGUUCGGAUUGUAGGCUGCAACUCGCCUACAUGAAGUCGGAAUCGCUAGUAAUCGCGGAUCAGCACGCCGCGGUCGAAUACGUUCCCGGGCCUU